AGCAUCUGCUAUCUGUUAUGUAGUACUUGGUGGCGAAUGUCUACCACAAACCAUACAUUGAUUGCAUCUCAUCUUAAACAUAGCAAAGUCAUUUGCGUACCUUCCUGAACGUGAAAACUGGGACAAAACUUAUAGGUCCAGUCCCCACAUCUCCCUUCAUGCAAUACUCAUAAUAUUAAACAGUUUCAUCUCCAAUUUUAAAUUAAGUUGAAACCAUAACAGAAUAAUCUAUUCGGGCAAAAGAGAAACUUUGAA
RNAcentral lists this unclassified non-coding RNA (255 nucleotides) under Hevea brasiliensis (rubber tree). Lineage: Eukaryota; Viridiplantae; Streptophyta; Magnoliopsida; Malpighiales; Euphorbiaceae. The record is from RNAcentral.